Ribosomal RNA from Sporanaerobacter acetigenes DSM 13106, 119 nucleotides. The record is from Rfam. Lineage: Bacteria; Bacillati; Bacillota; Tissierellia; Tissierellales; Sporanaerobacteraceae.
CCUGGUGAUUAUAGCAAGAGGGUCACACCUGUUCCCAUACCGAACACAGAAGUUAAGCCUUUUUAGCUGCCGAUGGUACUUGGGUGGUAACGCCCUGGGAGAGUAGGACAUCGCCAGAU